GGCGGCGUGCUUACACAUGCAAGUCGAACGAUGAACCACUUCGGUGGGGAUUAGUGGCGAACGGGUGAGUAACACGUGGGCAAUCUGCCCUGACACUCUGGGACAAGCCCUGGAAACGGGGUCUAAUACCGGAUACUGACCCUCGACAGGCAUCUGCGAGGUUCGAAAGCUCCGGCGGUGCAGGAUGAGCCCGCGGCCUAUCAGCUUGUUGGUGAGGUAAUGGCUCACCAAGGCGACGACGGGUAGCCGGCCUGAGAGGGCGACCGGCCACACUGGGACUGAGACACGGCCCAGACUCCUACGGGAGGCAGCAGUGGGGAAUAUUGCACAAUGGGCGAAAGCCUGAUGCAGCGACGCCGCGUGAGGGAUGACGGCCUUCGGGUUGUAAACCUCUUUCAGCAGGGAAGAAGCGAAAGUGACGGUACCUGCAGAAGAAGCGCCGGCUAACUACGUGCCAGCAGCCGCGGUAAUACGUAGGGCGCAAGCGUUGUCCGGAAUUAUUGGGCGUAAAAGCUCGUAGCGGUUUGUCGCGUCGGUUGUGAAACCCCGGGGCUUACCCCGGGUCUGCAGUCGAUACGGGCAGGCUAAAGUUCGGUAGGGGAGAUCCGAAUUCCUGGUGUACGGUAAAAUGCGCAAAUAUUAUGAAGGAACCCCGGUUGUCGAAGGCGGAUUUCUGGGCCGAUUAUGACGCUUAAGGAACGAAAGCCUGGGAGCGAACAGAUUAGAUACCCUGGUAGUCCAACGCCGUAAACGGUGGGCACUAGGUGUGGGCAACAUUCCACGUUGUCCGUGCCCGCAGCUAACGCAUUAAGUGCCCCGCCUGGGGAGUACGGCCGCAAGGCUAAACUCAAAGGAAUUGAACGGGGGCCCGCACAAGCGGCGGAGCAUGUGGCUUAAUUCGACGCAACGCGAAGAACCUUACCAAGGCUUGACAUACACCGGAAAGCAUCAGAGAUGGUGCCCCCCUUGUGGUCGGUGUACAGGUGGUGCAUGGCUGUCGUCAGCUCGUGUCGUGAGAUGUUGGGUUAAGUCCCGCAACGAGCGCAACCCUUGUCCCGUGUUGCCAGCAGGCCCUUGUGGUGCUGGGGACUCACGGGAGACCGCCGGGGUCAACUCGGAGGAAGGUGGGGACGACGUCAAGUCAUCAUGCCCCUUAUGUCUUGGGCUGCACACUUGCUACAAUGGCCGGUACAAUGAGCUGCGAUACCGCAAGGUGGAGCGAAUCUCAAAAAGCCGGUCUCAGUUCGGAUUGGGGUCUGCAACUCGACCCCAUGAAGUCGGAGUCGCUAGUAAUCGCAGAUCAGCAUUGCUGCGGUGAAUACGUUCCCGGGCCUUGUACACACCGCCCGUCACGUCACGAAAGUCGGUAACACCCGAAGUCCGGUGAGCCCAACCACCUUGUGGGAGGGAGCUGUCGA
This 1418-nucleotide ribosomal RNA is filed under the name Streptomyces sp. KSS178S21. RNAcentral's name for it is "16S ribosomal RNA". It matches the Rfam family "Bacterial small subunit ribosomal RNA". Lineage: Bacteria; Bacillati; Actinomycetota; Actinomycetes; Kitasatosporales; Streptomycetaceae. The record is from RNAcentral.